Xyrauchen texanus (razorback sucker) is the source of this 4146-nucleotide RNA transcript. It is a transcript of the gene named serine/threonine-protein phosphatase 2A 56 kDa regulatory subunit beta isoform-like, with no coding region annotated. NCBI's taxonomy places the organism in Eukaryota, Metazoa, Chordata, Actinopteri, Cypriniformes, Catostomidae. The record is from RefSeq and is a predicted model, not a curated record. The transcript is spliced from 14 exons.
UCAGAGGCAGUUGGGGAUGGUCUAUCGGUAGCCAAAAACGCCCAUAACGUUCAGCAUCACGUCUAGUUUUAGGUAGGUCAGCGGCACGUCGUCGGUAAACAUACAGACUUCGAGUUCGAAAAAUAAUACACGAUAAAUUGAACAACGAUAAUCGAAUACAGCGACGAGCGAGUGGACGGAAUAAUGAACGAAUGAAGCAAGAACAAUGGCCAACCUGACAGUCCCAAAACACAGCGGCUAGAUACUGUGUCAGCCAGAGAGGGAGGGAGAGAGGGAAGAGAAGGGAAUAGGUUGAUGGAGAAAACAGCUGUCUAAGAAACGGCAUGCGCGCGGAUUAAAUAUAAAGAACAUAAAGCUUAUAUAGUCGAUUAAACGUUGUAUUGAGUGGUAAAUGGUAGCCAUGACAUCGCGAUGUCUAGCAGCAGGUCGCAUAAAUGUACGAGUAAAUAAAUAAAUAAGAGCGUGGCGAGCGUCAUCUGCAGUGUGUAGCAUUUACAUCUACUUGCACCACCUGAAGACAACGACCGACAGUGGCUGCUUGGAAAUAAAGAAACGGUGGAAAACCACGAGCUACCAGCGGAGAAAAGGACAGCAGACAAAUUCACAGAGACUGUCAACGUCCUUGUGAUAGCAGAAGUAACUGAACAGCGGUUUCUUGUCUUUGAGGGAGAGGAGGUUGAAGGGGGUAUCAGUGCUGCAGCGGCCGCCGUGAUGCUGUACACAUGUAGGCACGUUUGAAGCAGUUCAUCCCCGCCCUGUGUGGAUCCGCCGUAAAACCGAACCGAACUGACGGUAUAUUAACGGAAUUUGUAGGGGGACGUUGGAAGGCAGAACUAUUUAUUGAUAAUAUGACGAUAACCUUUGUUAAUAACUGAUGUAUUAGUAUAUGUGUGGAGAAGAUAAAUGACAAGAUUGUUUUUUAAAUCAUUAAUUUGUUCCCCAACAUGGAAUGAUUGGUCCAUGAUCAAUGGAUAGCAGCAUGUUUAUUCCAUCCGAGGUUUAAUACGCUACCGAUUUAUGCCUUCAGUCUAUAAAUAUUUAAAUAAAGACCAAAUUUAGGCCGAUGACUUUCUGAUGACGACAGUACGACAGAGAUGUCUUCAUUGUAGCAAUUCACGCUCACCCCAGUAUAUCUUCAUGAAGAUAUAGAUCAUUACAUUCACCCCUUGUGAUUUUCGUGGCUAAUCUCGUUGUUAUUGGGGGUGGGGGGGUUUAAUAACACAAGCAGGAGACGAUUCAAAUCGAACAAGAUUGCUUUCACUUUUAUGUCCUUUCUGCCUGUAUUUUGACCAUGUUAGAUAACUUCUGCCUCUAGUCCUUCCUUGCUCGUUCAUCUCACGUUUUUCCAAUUCAAGAAACAUCUUUUGAGUCAGUAACAAGGUAUUAAGACUGUAAGGUUAUAAGAGCCGAUCCUCGCCAUAGGCUUCCUUCCUCGAACAAGCCUCUGCCGAGCACCACCUUCGCAGCGAUGGAGACCCCUACGAAGCUACCUCCAUCAAGCCCAUCAUCGCCGACCACGGGCUUCUCUGUGCCUAGCGCGGAGAAGGUAGAUGGCUUCCCCCGCCGCUCGAUGCGCCGUGCCCGGCAGCGACGGUCCCAUAGCUCUUCACAGUUCCGCUAUCAGAGCUCCCAGGUGGAGCUGACGGCGCUGCCCUUACUUAAAGAUGCUCCUGUGGCAGAACUUCACGACUUAUUCUGUAAGAAGCUACAACAGUGUUGUGUUCUCUUUGACUUUCUGGACUGCGUCGCUGACCUGAAGGGGAAAGAGAUCAAACGUGCAGCGCUGAAUGAGCUUGUGGAGAGCGUAGCCACCAGCCGCGGGGUCCUCAUCGAACCCCUUUACCCAGAGGCCAUUAAGAUGAUCUCAGUGAACAUUUUUAGAACUCUCCCACCCAGUGAGAACCCUGAGUUUGACCCAGAGGAGGAUGAACCUGCUCUGGAAGCCUCCUGGCCACACUUACAAUUGGUGUAUGAGUUCUUUUUACGCUUUCUUGAGAGUCCAGAUUUUCAGCCUUCUCUUGCCAAGCGUUACGUGGACCAGAAAUUUGUUCUUCAGCUGCUGGAAUUAUUUGACAGCGAGGACCCCAGAGAAAGAGAGUAUCUGAAAACUAUUCUACACCGUGUCUAUGGCAAACUCCUGGGCUUGAGGGCCUACAUCCGCAAACAAAUCAACAAUAUCUUCCUCAGGUUCAUUUAUGAAACUGAGCGUUUCAAUGGAGUUGCCGAACUUCUGGAGAUUUUGGGAAGUAUCAUUAAUGGCUUUGCUCUGCCCCUCAAAUCAGAGCAUAAGCAGUUCCUGGUGAGGGUCCUGAUUCCCUUGCACACUGCCAAGUCUCUCUCCAUUUUCCAUGCACAGCUGGCUUACUGUGUGGUGCAAUUCAUGGAGAAGGAUGCCACAGUUACAGAACAUAUCAUCAGAGGGUUGCUGAGAUACUGGCCCAAAACAUGCACUCAGAAAGAGGUGAUGUUCCUGGGGGAGGUCGAGGAAAUUCUGGAUGUUAUUGAACCAUCUCAGUUUAUCCGUGUGCAGGAGCCUCUAUUCAAACAGAUUGCUGCCUGCAUUUCCAGCCCUCAUUUCCAGGUUGCAGAGCGGGCUCUGUAUUUCUGGAAUAAUGAGUACAUUCUGAGUCUUAUAGAGGAGAACUGCCAGGUCAUCCUGCCUCUGGUUUUUGGCACGCUGUACAGAGUUUCCAAAGAGCACUGGAAUCAGACGAUCAUCUCUCUUAUCUACAAUGUGCUAAAGACAUUUAUGGAGAUGAACAGCAAGCUCUUUGAUGAUCUCACUGCCUCCUACAAAGUGGAGAAACAGAAGGAACUAAAGAAAGAGAAGGAACGAGCUGAGCUGUGGAGGAAUUUGGAGGAGCUGCAAGAGAGGCGGCCACAGAGUCUGACCGAGGCCAGCAGAAACCAGAAGAACCUGCAGGAAAGAGAGAACACCAAGAACCAGUCAGAGACCAGUGCUGCCAACACCACCUAGAGACAACAUGCAAACACACACACACACACACACACACACACACACACACACACACACACACACACACACACACACACACACACACACACACACACAGUCAAUGCCUCAAUUCCACAUUCUGAAUCACUCACAUUGUGCAGACACUACUAUCACAAGCACCAGACAGAGAGCACAUGUACAACAGGCUGUCCAUAUGUACAUAUGUUACAAACACUGAAGCACACAUCACACACUGAGUGAGAUAUAAAAGCUAAAAAAAUGAGUACCUCUCACAUGCGUUCUACUCUUCCAUAUGCUACAUAUGCUUUAUACACACCUACCUUUCUACAUCUUUCCUUUCUAUCCCUUCACAUGCAAAACAUGCUUGAAUGGGGUCCAAACAUGGAAGACACACAUGUGCACACUCAAAAUCAAACACAUAUGCAUCAUUCAUUGCUGUCAUUCCAAAACUGGCUCUGUUUCUCUCAGGCCCGAUCCGAGGCCCCCGUCAACCGACUAACAGACUCUGCAUACUGUCAAACACUGGGGAGGAAUGAAGUUGAUAAUGAUGAUCCUAAAGAUGACAAUUAUACAAUUCUAAUGUUCCUACUUCUACAGCUUAUUCUAUAAAAGAGAGAAUCUUUAUUUUGUAAUCUUGUUUUUUGUAUGUUUGUUUUUUGUUGCUUCUAUUGAUUGAUGUAGAGGCUUGAUAAAGGAAAAGGAUCUACGUUUAUGGGCAUAUUGAGAAAGGAUAGGAAGAGAUUGUGCUGGUGUGUGUAUGUGUGCUUGUGUGUGUGUGGAUGUUGUAGAGAAGGGGUGUAUUACUGUCUCCAGUUUAGAAGAGAACAGGGAUUGAAUCAGAAUGUACUAUUCACUUUGAGUGUGCUUAUAUGCUCAAAUGAACUGCAAAUGGUGAUUAUUGAUUUUCAGUAUAGUCUUUCUCAUUGAGAGAAAAAAAAAAUGAAAAGAGCAAACAAUAUCACUCUUGUUCUUGUCUACAAGAAAGAAAUCAGAUUGACUCCCUUUGUUUUCCUCUGUUAUCGGAAUAAAACAUUUCAUAGUUACAGAACGGAAAAGAAAAAUGAUAUAGAAUAGAGAUGGCAAUAAAAAUGGACUGAAAUUGUACGCAUACGUAGCAUCACUUAAACUAGAGUUGCACUGUCCUUUUGAUCAAUGUCUUGUGUUUUAAC